RNAcentral lists this ribosomal RNA (406 nucleotides) under uncultured bacterium. Its description in RNAcentral is "partial 16S ribosomal RNA". It matches the Rfam family "Bacterial small subunit ribosomal RNA", at positions 30 to 526 of the family's 1533-position model. The record is from RNAcentral.
AUUGAACGCUGGCGGCAGGCUUAACACAUGCAAGUCGAGCGAGCGGCGGCCGGGUGAGUAAUGUCUGGGAAACUGCCCGAUGGAGGGGGAUAACUACUGGAAACGGUAGCUAAUACCGCAUACCAUCAGAUGUGCCCAGAUGGGAUUAGCUAGUAGGUGGGGUAAUGGCUCACCUAGGCGACGAUCGCUAGCUGGUCUGAGAGGAUGACCAGCCACACUGGGACUGAGACACGGCCCAGACUCCUACGGGAGGCAGCAGUGGGGAAUAUUGCACAAUGGGCGCAAGCCUGAUACAGCCAUGCCGCGUGUAUGAAGAAGGCCUUAGGGUUGUAAAGCACUUUCAGCGAGGAGGCGUUACUCGCAGAAGAAGCACCGGCUAACUCCGUGCCAGCAGCCGCGGUAAUAC